GUGUAAAAUUGGGAAAGGUGUGUAAAAUUGGGAAAGGUGUGUAUACUCAAAAGGUGUGUAGCAUAGAAAGGUGUGUAUAUUCAAAAGGUGUGUAAAAUUGGGAAAGGUGUGUAAAAUUGGGAAAGGUGUGUAAAAUUGGGAAAGGUGUGUAAAAUUGGGAAAGGUGUGUAUACUCAAAAGGUGUGUAGCAUAGAAAGGUGUGUAUAUUCAAAAGGCCAGGUGUGUAAAAUUGGGAAAGGUGUGUAUACUCAAAAGGUGUGUAGCAUAGAAAGGUGUGUAUAUUCAAAAGGUGUGUAAAAUUGGGAAAGGUGUGUAAAAUUGGGAAAGGUGUGUAUACUCAAAAGGUGUGUAGCAUAGAAAGGUGUGUAUAUUCAAAAGGUGUGUAAAAUUGAGAAAGGUGUGUAUAUUCAAAAGGUGUGUAAACUUGAGAAAGGUGUGUAUAUUCAAAAGGUGUGUAAAAUUGAGAAAGGUGUGUAUAUUCAAAAGGUGUGUAAAAGUGAGAAAAGUGUAUAGGGUGGAAAGGUGUGUAAUCAGUAAAGGUGUGUUUUUGCGUAAAAGAUGUGUAAAAUAACACACCUUUAAUAAGUACAAGCAAGGUGUGUAAUACAAAGGUGUGUAAUUUU
Non-coding RNA from Paramuricea clavata, 623 nucleotides. The record is from the annotation of a GenBank genome assembly. NCBI's taxonomy places the organism in Eukaryota, Metazoa, Cnidaria, Anthozoa, Malacalcyonacea, Plexauridae.